RNAcentral lists this ribosomal RNA (603 nucleotides) under Paraclostridium bifermentans. RNAcentral's name for it is "bacterial SSU rRNA". It matches the Rfam family "Bacterial small subunit ribosomal RNA", at positions 66 to 699 of the family's 1533-position model. Lineage: Bacteria; Bacillati; Bacillota; Clostridia; Peptostreptococcales; Peptostreptococcaceae. The record is from RNAcentral.
GCGAUCUCUUCGGAGAGAGCGGCGGACGGGUGAGUAACGCGUGGUUAACCUGCCCUGUACACACGGAUAACAUACCGAAGGGUUACUAAUACGGGAUAACAUAUGAAAGUCGCAUGGUUUUUGUAUCAUUUCUCCGGCGGUACAAGAUGGACCCGCGUCUGAUUAGCUACUUGGUAAGGUAAUGGCUUACCAAGGCAACGAUCAGUAGCCGACCUGAGAGGGUGAUCGGCCACACUGGAACUGAGACACGGUCCAGACUCCUACGGGAGGCAUCAGUGGGGAAUAUUGCACAAUGGGCGAAAGCCUGAUGCAGCAACGCCGCGUGAGCGAUGAAUGCCUUCGGGUCGUAAAGCUCUUUCCUCAAGGAAGAUAAUGACGGUACUUGAGGAGGAACCCCCGGCUAACUACGUGCCAGCAGCCGCGGUAAUACCUAGGGGGCUAGCGUUAUCCGGAAUUACUGGGCGUAAAGGGUGCGUAAGUGGUUUUUUAAGUCAAAAGUGAAAGGCUACGGCUCAACCGUAGUAAGCUUUUGAAACUAGAGAACUUGAGUGCAUAGAGAGGAGAGUAGAAUUCCUAGUGUAGCGGUGAAAUGCGUAGAUAUUA